GAGAGAGAGAGAGAGAGAGAGUAAUUGUAGUAUUAUUGAAUUCUUCAUUUACUGAAAUUAGUUACAAUAUUAUUCCUAUUUAUGCAAUAUAUUCUCUUAUACAUUCUCACAGCUACCAUCCUCUUUAUCAUAACACAAUACAAAAGAAUGAGCACUUUGAAGUUAUAAGAGAUAAGUAGUGAUAGGCAGACCUAAGAAGAUGUGGGGCCUGGGAAGGUGGGGCC
RNAcentral lists this unclassified non-coding RNA (224 nucleotides) under Hevea brasiliensis (rubber tree). The record is from RNAcentral. Lineage: Eukaryota; Viridiplantae; Streptophyta; Magnoliopsida; Malpighiales; Euphorbiaceae.